UACGAAGGGUGCAAGCGUUACUCGGAAUUACUGGGCGUAAAGCGUGCGUAGGUGGUGAGUUAAGUCUGUCGUGAAAGCCCCGGGCUCAACCUGGGAAUGGCGAUGGAUACUGGCUCGCUAGAGUGCGGUAGAGGAGAGUGGAAUUCCCGGUGUAGCAGUGAAAUGCGUAGAGAUCGGUAGGAACACCAGUGGCGAAGGCGGUCUCCUGGGGCAUUCUUGACGCUGAGACGCGAAAGCUGGGGGAGCGAACGGG
Molecule: ribosomal RNA, 253 nt
Filed under: uncultured bacterium
Lineage: Bacteria
Description: partial 16S ribosomal RNA
Rfam family: Bacterial small subunit ribosomal RNA
Source: RNAcentral